This 363-nucleotide transfer-messenger RNA is filed under the name Pseudomonadales. RNAcentral describes it as "DC-out160 sp016765265 Standard tmRNA". It matches the Rfam family "transfer-messenger RNA". From Rfam's summary of the family: Bacterial tmRNA, also known as 10Sa RNA or SsrA, is named for its dual tRNA and mRNA-like properties. Its role is to liberate the mRNA from a stalled ribosome. The record is from RNAcentral. RNAcentral also lists the same sequence under 1 other name. Lineage: Bacteria; Pseudomonadati; Pseudomonadota; Gammaproteobacteria.
GGGGGCGACCUGGCUUCGACGCCGGUAAUGAAACCUUGAGUGCAUGUCGAGUACCGUUGCAAUUCUCGUAAAUCCGUUGCAGCAAAUAAAGAUAGUCGCAAACGACGAAUCUUACGCUCUAGCAGCUUAACAGCCAGCUAGCCAUUGACCAAUUAUUGCUUGUGGUGGUCGGAUUUCAAUGGUCAAAUUACACAAGAUCGCAACAAAGCGUGUCUGUAGCCGCGUUGUUAAAACCUAACAGACUCAGCUUGUAACGCCCUGCCUUUCGGGCCGUUAUCGGUUAACUUAAUAGAAAUGGCUAUGCAUGUAGAUCGCAAGGCAGAGUGCUGACGGACGCGGGUUCGAUUCCCGCCGCCUCCACCA